CCAUCUAGUCAGGACUCACGAUAAAGGGACUAAAUCACAUGUUAACUAUACCUUGAGGUUCUUUUCAGUUCUACUGGGUUGUCACUACAUAUUGCUAGGUGUCACUGAUGAAUUGUGGAGCUCACUAGGAUUGUUUAGAAUCGACAAUCAUUAAUGAGUUAGAGUAAAAUUGUUCCAAUCUAUUGAAAAAAAUUUUAAUGAUACUUUAAUAAAGAUCAUUAUAUAUCUCACUAUCAAAUAGAAUUGAAUCUAUGGGGUCACACAACAAAGGGAUUAGAUCUGGAA
RNAcentral lists this long non-coding RNA (285 nucleotides) under Elaeis guineensis (African oil palm). RNAcentral's name for it is "long non-coding RNA (EGUI_LNC067411)". Lineage: Eukaryota; Viridiplantae; Streptophyta; Magnoliopsida; Arecales; Arecaceae. The record is from RNAcentral.